Long non-coding RNA from Dreissena polymorpha, 841 nucleotides. RefSeq lists it as uncharacterized. The record is from RefSeq and is a predicted model, not a curated record. The transcript has 3 exons. NCBI's taxonomy places the organism in Eukaryota, Metazoa, Mollusca, Bivalvia, Myida, Dreissenidae.
AUCCCAUACACCGUCAGCUACUAACGGUGUAACUAAUAGUACUAUAUGUUGUUGGAUUCUUAAAUCUUAUCAACAUGCAGCUAUUAAAGGGAUCUUUUCACGCUUUGGUCAAUUGACAAAAUAAAACAAAUGUUUCAGAUUCGCGAAUUUUCGUUAUAACGAUUCCCAAGACAAAAAAUGCAGUGCUAUACUAGUCGUGCUGACUUCCUAAUCAACGUUAUAUAAACGGAUGAGAUCUUUCGGACGUCUUAAAAAGUUUCUCGGCCUUGCUGAGACAGAAAAAAAGGUACAACGAACAAGGCGAUGCAAUCAUUAACAUUCAACAAAUGAUCUCGCGGAACAUUACAAAUCUUCCGGUGGAAUAAUUGGUAACAAUUGCGGAUACAAAUCGGAUUCUAAAACGCACGAAACUUCCACAUAUCUUCCUCGUGAAAAAAGGUCAUUAAACAUCGUAAUAGCGGACUAUAAAAAGCGCGUCAAAAACAACAAAACAAUUUUCAUUAAACCACGAAACAAUAGUGGGCACUAAAGUCGCAUGGGACUUACCCAUCUGCCGUCGAAACAAUAAAGUAUUAAAAUACUGCAGACUAGCUGCUCACAAGCUUAUCCAGUGAACACAUUUAGCAAACAUUUAAAAAAAACUUACUGGACAUUGGUGGAAUCUCUCUUUGAUACUAAUUGACCUUUAUAACUAUAAGUGUGUUUGCAUUAUAUUUCUGUAGCUUGUUCAUUCAUAAUUGCAUUAUGAGUGCUUUUUGUGUAUUUACUUUGUGAUCCAGCAAUGUUUGGAUAAAAAUGUACAUUUCAUAUUGGCGAAUAAAGUAUAUUCAAACAAAAAAUA